RNAcentral lists this ribosomal RNA (376 nucleotides) under uncultured bacterium. Its description in RNAcentral is "bacterial SSU rRNA". It matches the Rfam family "Bacterial small subunit ribosomal RNA", at positions 30 to 412 of the family's 1533-position model. The record is from RNAcentral.
AUUGAACGCUGGCGGAAUGCUUUACACAUGCAAGUCGAACGGUAGAGGGGGCAACCCCUUGAGAGUGGCGAACGGGUGAGUAAUAUAUCGGAACGUGCCCAGUCGUGGGGAUAACGUAGCGAAAGCUACGCUAAUACCGCAUACGAUCUAUGGAUGAAAGCGGGGGAUCGCAAGACCUCGCGCGAUUGGAGCGGCCGAUAUCAGAUUAGGUAGUUGGUGAGGUAAAGGCUCACCAAGCCGACGAUCUGUAGCUGGUCUGAGAGGACGACCAGCCACACUGGGACUGAGACACGGCCCAGACUCCUACGGGAGGCAGCAGUGGGAAUUUUGGACAAUGGGCGCAAGCCUGAUCCAGCAAUGCCGCGUGCAGGAUGAA